This 253-nucleotide ribosomal RNA is filed under the name uncultured bacterium. RNAcentral's name for it is "partial 16S ribosomal RNA". It matches the Rfam family "Bacterial small subunit ribosomal RNA", at positions 524 to 776 of the family's 1533-position model. The record is from RNAcentral.
UACGUAGGUGGCAAGCGUUGUCCGGAUUUACUGGGCGUAAAGGGCGUGCAGGCGGUCUGUUAAGUCUAGGGUGAAAGCUCCCGGCUCAACUGGGAGAGGUCCUUGGAUACUGGCGGACUUGAGGGAGGCAGAGGAAAGUGGAAUUCCUGGUGUAGUGGUGAUAUGCGUAGAUAUCGGGAGGAACACCAGUGGCGAAGGCGGCUUUCUGGGCCUUACCUGACGCUGAGACGCGAAAGCGUGGGGAGCGAACCGG